This 492-nucleotide ribosomal RNA is filed under the name uncultured bacterium. RNAcentral's name for it is "partial 16S ribosomal RNA". It matches the Rfam family "Bacterial small subunit ribosomal RNA", at positions 29 to 507 of the family's 1533-position model. The record is from RNAcentral.
AAUGAACGCUGGCGGCGUGCCUAACACAUGCAAGUCGAACGGAAGCACGGUAAGCUUUUGCCCUUAAUGGUAGCGGGUGGCGGGCGAGUAACGCGUGCAUAACCUACUUCUUUGUCGGGGAUGACAACGGAAGACCGGAUCUGAUACCGCAUAAUAUGUUGAACCGGAGGGAGCAAAAGAGAAUGAGGGCUUUGGUGUCUGUUAUAGACGGGGUCGGAUUAGCUAGUUGGGGGGGUAAGGGCACACCAAGGCAACGAUGCGUAGCCGAGCUGAGAGGAUGAUCGGCCACACUGGAACUGAGACACGGUCCAGACUCCUACGGGAGGCAGCAGUAGGGAAUAUUGGGCAAUGGGCGAAAGCCUGAUGCAGCCAUGCCGCGUGAGUGAUGAAGGCCUUCGGAUUGUAAAGCUCUGUUGUUGGGAAAGAACAGCAGUGUGAUAAUACGUCGCUAUUCUGACGGUACCUAAUGAAAAAGCACCGGCUAACUACGUG